This 751-nucleotide long non-coding RNA is filed under the name Cavia porcellus (domestic guinea pig). Its description in RNAcentral is "lncRNA (ENSCPOG00000032358.1)". The record is from RNAcentral. Lineage: Eukaryota; Metazoa; Chordata; Mammalia; Rodentia; Caviidae.
CUCGUCCACGCGGGGGUGGGCCUCCCGGGGACCGGCUCCUCCGGGCUCCGGCGACUCCUCCGGAGCGGGUGCUGGAGCCCGCGGGCCGCAGGUCGGGCCGGGACCCGGGCCUGCAUGGCGGCGGCCGCGUCUGCUCCCCCGGCGCCCUGCGGCGCCCCCGCCCGGCAGCGUCGGCCCUGGCCGCCUGGUCUGGACCCGAGAUCGAAGCUUCCUGCCACAUCUGGUUCCCAGCCAAGGAUUCGGACUCGUUUGUCCUCUGCACGCGGUUUUCGCAGCCUUGAGCUUCACAGCCUGUGCCCCUGGUGUGGUGCCUGGUGUCUCCUGGGCCCUGCUGCAGUUCUGAAGGCACCGAAUGCGCUGUUGAUGACUUUACAGGUGCUGGAGAGAGUAUUCUUGGAUAGCUUCUGCACUGCUGGGAAUGAAGAUUUCUGGCCAAUGUGGUAUGAUUCCAAGGAGCUCUGGCUUCCAGAGAAAGGAUUUCUGUGAAGUGCACCAGGACACUGUUUUGAGAGUGUCUAUUAACAUCUCCAGUAAAUCAUCUGAGAUCAAGUGUUUAGAAACAGCAGAGACCAAAGGCAGGUGAGAGUCCCAGAAACUUUCUCCAUGUCUAUACCAUUUGCAAAACAUUUUGGAAUUCAAAAUCUUGAAGCUUGUGUAUCAGCUUUCCCUAGAGAAAGAAGGCACACCUUUAAUGUGUGCUUGCUCCGAAUUGUUAUUUCUUUGAUGUCUGUGCUUCUUCAUACUUCCAUAA